This 466-nucleotide ribosomal RNA is filed under the name uncultured bacterium. Its description in RNAcentral is "partial 16S ribosomal RNA". It matches the Rfam family "Bacterial small subunit ribosomal RNA", at positions 28 to 507 of the family's 1533-position model. The record is from RNAcentral.
GAUGAACGCUGGCGGCGUGCUUAACACAUGCAAGUCGAACGGAAAGGCUCCUGCUUGCAGGGGUACUCGAGUGGCGAACGGGUGAGUAACACGUGGGUGAUCUGCCCUGCACUUCGGGAUAAGCCUGGGAAACUGGGUCUAAUACCGGAUAGGACGAUGGUUUGGAUGCCAUUGUGGAAAGUUUUUCGGUGUGGGAUGAGCUCGCGGCCUAUCAGCUUGUUGGUGGGGUAAUGGCCUACCAAGGCGUCGACGGGUAGCCGGCCUGAGAGGGUGUACGGCCACAUUGGGACUGAGAUACGGCCCAGACUCCUACGGGAGGCAGCGGUGGGGAAUAUUGCACAAUGGGCGCAAGCCUGAUGCAGCGACGCCGCGUGGGGGAUGACGGCCUUCGGGUUGUAAACUCCUUUCGCUAGGGACGAAGCGUUUUGUGACGGUACCUGGAGAAGAAGCACCGGCUAACUACGUG